This 616-nucleotide ribosomal RNA is filed under the name uncultured bacterium. RNAcentral describes it as "bacterial SSU rRNA". It matches the Rfam family "Bacterial small subunit ribosomal RNA", at positions 821 to 1442 of the family's 1533-position model. The record is from RNAcentral.
UGUCGGGCCUUAAUUGGCUUGGUAACGCAGCUAACGCGUGAAGUAGACCGCCUGGGGAGUACGGUCGCAAGAUUAAAACUCAAAGGAAUUGACGGGGACCCGCACAAGCGGUGGAUGAUGUGGAUUAAUUCGAUGCAACGCGAAAAACCUUACCUACCCUUGACAUGUCAGGAACCCCGCUGAGAGGUGGGGGUGCUCGAAAGAGAACCUGAGCACAGGUGCUGCAUGGCUGUCGUCAGCUCGUGUCGUGAGAUGUUGGGUUAAGUCCCGCAACGAGCGCAACCCUUAUCAUUAGUUGCUACGCAAGGGCACUCUAAUGAGACUGCCGGUGACAAACCGGAGGAAGGUGGGGAUGACGUCAAGUCCUCAUGGCCCUUAUGGGUAGGGCUUCACACGUCAUACAAUGGUCGGUACAGAGGGCUGCCAACCCGCGAGGGGGAGCUAAUCCCAUAAAACCGAUCGUAGUCCGGAUUGUAGUCUGCAACUCGACUACAUGAAGUCGGAAUCGCUAGUAAUCGCGGAUCAGCAUGUCGCGGUGAAUACGUUCCCGGGUCUUGUACACACCGCCCGUCACACCAUGGGAGUGGGUUUUACCAGAAGUAGUUAGCCUAACCGC